GCGGCUGAUUAGGUAGUUGGUUGAGGUAACGGCUCACCAAGCCAACGAUCAGUAACUGGUGUGAGAGCACGACCAGUCACACUGGGACUGAGACACGGCCCAGACUCCUACGGGAGGCAGCAGUGGGGAAUUGUUCGCAAUGGGCGCAAGCCUGACGACGCAACGCCGCGUGGAGGACGAAGAUCUUCGGGUCGUAAACUCCUGUCGAGCGGGAAGAACGCUUCGCGGAUGAAUAAGCCGCGGAAUUGACGGUACCGCUAAAGGAAGCCCCGGCUAACUCCGUGCCAGCAGCCGCGGUAAUACGGGGGGGGCAAGCGUUGUUCGGAAUUACUGGGCGUAAAGGGCUCGUAGGCGGCCAACUAAGUCGGAUGUGAAAUCCCCAGGCUCAACUUGGGAACUGCAUCCGAUACUGGAUGGCUUGAAUCCGGGAGAGGGAUGCAGAAUUCCAGGUGUAGCGGUGAAAUGCGUAGAUAUCUGGAGGAAUACCGGUGGCGAAGGCGGCAUCCUGGACCGGCAUUGACGCUGAUGAGCGAAAGCUAGGGGAGCAAACGGGAUUAGAUACCCCGGUAGUCCUAGCCCUAAACGAUGAAUGCUUGGUGU
RNAcentral lists this ribosomal RNA (600 nucleotides) under uncultured soil bacterium. RNAcentral describes it as "bacterial SSU rRNA". It matches the Rfam family "Bacterial small subunit ribosomal RNA", at positions 233 to 823 of the family's 1533-position model. The record is from RNAcentral.